RNAcentral lists this ribosomal RNA (407 nucleotides) under uncultured bacterium. Its description in RNAcentral is "bacterial SSU rRNA". It matches the Rfam family "Bacterial small subunit ribosomal RNA", at positions 355 to 776 of the family's 1533-position model. The record is from RNAcentral.
UGGGGAAUAUUGCACAAUGGGGGAAACCCUGAUGCAGCGACGCCGCGUGAAGGAAGAAGGCCCUCGGGUUGUAAACUUCUUUGACCAGGGACGAAGAAAGUGACGGUACCUGGAGAACAAGCCACGGCUAACUACGUGCCAGCAGCCGCGGUAAUACGUAGGUGGCGAGCGUUGUCCGGAAUUACUGGGUGUAAAGGGCGUGUAGGCGGGUUCUUAAGUCAGAUGUGAAAUCCCGGGGCUCAACUCCGGAGCUGCAUCUGAAACUGGGAAUCUUGAGUGCUGGAGGGGAAAGUGGAAUUCCUAGUGUAGCGGUGAAAUGCGUAGAGAUUAGGAGGAACACCAGUGGCGAAGGCGGCUUUCUGGACAGUAACUGACGCUGAGGCGCGAAAGCGUGGGGAGCAAACAGG